RNAcentral lists this non-coding RNA (30 nucleotides) under Rattus norvegicus (Norway rat). Lineage: Eukaryota; Metazoa; Chordata; Mammalia; Rodentia; Muridae. The record is from RNAcentral.
UAAUCGGAUGGUGUCUCUACAGACUAAACU